RNAcentral lists this ribosomal RNA (403 nucleotides) under uncultured bacterium. RNAcentral's name for it is "partial 16S ribosomal RNA". It matches the Rfam family "Bacterial small subunit ribosomal RNA", at positions 28 to 526 of the family's 1533-position model. The record is from RNAcentral.
GACGAACGCUGGCGGCGUGCCUAAUACAUGCAAGUCGAACGCAGUGGGGACGGGUGAGUAACACGUGGGUAACCUCCCAUCAGAGGGGAUAAAACUUGGAAACAGGUGCUAAACCGAUCCUGAUGGAUGUACCCGCGGUGCAUUAGCUAGUUGGUGAGGUAACGGCUCACCAAGGCCACGAUGCCUAGCCGGCCUGAGAGGGUGAGCGGCCACACGGGGACUGAGACACGGCCCAGACUCCGACGGGAGGCAGCAGUAGGGAAGCUUCGGCAAUGGACGAAAGUCUGACCGAGCAACGCCGCGUGAGUGAAGAAGGUUUUCGGAUCGUAAAGCUCUGUUGUUAGGGAAGCGUUAUCUAACCAGAAAGCCACGGCUAACUACGUGCCAGCCGCCGCGGUAAUUC